CUCAGCGACAAUCUUCCUUAUCACACCUCCCAAAAAUUAGUUCCUGUUAUAUUUUUCUCACAUGAAAGAAAUUUAGAGUGAACUGGCAAACUGUAUCUGCGAAGGUCGGCACUGAGCUCUUCUCAGCACGAACACGGACGUGAUCAUGGAGGUGACAAGGGCUCUUGAAAAUGUGAGAUUAACCACUUGGUGUUUAGAAAGGGUUUGUAAUUCACAUAAUUAUUGGAACUUCUGAAGGACGAAGGACGUAAGCAGACCAGAGCCUUGAUGAUGUCUGCUCUCUGAAGUUCUUAUUGCUGAAAUCUAAGAAGCCGGAGAAGGGUGGUCUCAAUAUAUUGAGUUUGUAACACAUUACGCUCUUGGAGAUUCAGACUUGGAAUUCAAACUCUACUUGACAUUUCUGAACUUCAUUAAAUUCACGACCAGUCGGAACAUCCUUUAGAACAGAACAUUUCC
Molecule: long non-coding RNA, 456 nt
Filed under: Equus caballus (horse)
Lineage: Eukaryota; Metazoa; Chordata; Mammalia; Perissodactyla; Equidae
Description: lncRNA (ENSECAG00000042556.2)
Source: RNAcentral